CUACGGGUGGCAGCAGUGGGGAAUAUUGCACAAUGGGCGCAAGCCUGAUGCAGCCAUGCCGCGUGUAUGAAGAAGGCCUUCGGGUUGUAAAGUACUUUCAGCGGGGAGGAAGGGAGUAAAGUUAAUACCUUUGCUCAUUGACGUUACCCGCAGAAGAGGCACCGGCUAACUCCGUGCCAGCAGCCGCGGUAAUACGGAGGGUGCAAGCGUGUAAUCGGAAUUACUGGGCGUAAAGCGCACGCAGGCGGUUUGUUAAGUUAGAUGUGAAAUCCCCGGGCUCAACCUGGGAACUGCAUCUGAUACUGGCAAGCUUGAGUCUCGUAGAGGGGGGUAGAAUUCCAGGUGUAGCGGUGAAAUGCGUAGAGAUCUGGAGGAAUACCGGUGGCGAAGGCGGCCCCCUGGACGAAGACUGACGCUCAGGUGCGAAAGCGUGGGGAGCAAACAGGAUUAGAUACCCCUGUAGUC
Molecule: ribosomal RNA, 465 nt
Filed under: uncultured bacterium
Lineage: Bacteria
Description: partial 16S ribosomal RNA
Rfam family: Bacterial small subunit ribosomal RNA
Source: RNAcentral